UCUAUUCUAUAUAAGCGUAUGCUUACUUUAUAUAUGGAUGUCUUGUAACAUUUUAACUCAUUUUAUUCCUUCUUUUGUUUUAACUACAUUGUCCCUCUGUUCAACAAUUUGGCCUUGAUGUCUUUUAAGUAAAUUAAUGGUCACAGAUCUGGGAACAAUCACUGAGUGACUUACUGGUUAUGUUUUAAAUUCCAAAAAUGAAUUGGGACUCUGAGAGGCAGAACAAACAAUCAAACAAUCUGAAAGUAUACUUCUGCUAAAAAUCAUGAUGUGUUGGUUGAAUAUACAGCGUCCUCCAUAAUGUUUUUAAGAUUGUAUUUUUUUUUUUCUCUGUACACCAGCCAGCACGGUCGAUUUGCGUAAUGUUUGUUUUUUUUUUUUUUUUUCGUGAACGGGAAACUGCUUAAAGAAGCAUAUGAUCAGUUUGUCCAAUCGUGGUUUAAAUAAAGUUCUUUGAAAAAAAUUCCGCCAAAAAGUACGUCCACGACGUAAGUACGCGCCACAGUCAGCCAAUAAGCGUUCAGAGUCUUUCUAAAAGGCGCGAAAUUCGAGAAAAAUUCAGCUAGGACGAGGAAGUCGGGGGAGGAGCGUUGUCAUGUGUUCGUGUAACAUGGAGGGAGAGUUGUUCUUCAGCGUGCACUGGAAGAACCUCGAGCCAUUUGCCCGGUUACGGAAAUUGAAGCAAAGGAAGGUGAUGAUGUCAUCCUCCCGUUUUAUGUGGUCCCCCCUGUCAACCUGUCUGCGUUCACCGUGGACUGGUCAAGAACCAACCCGAGUGUGGUCGUCUACUCCUAUCGACACCAACAGGAGUCGCAUGAUGCAGAGAUGGAUGCAACAGUCAGACGUGAAGACCUGAACAGAGGAAGUCUGACACUGUGGAUCCCCUCAGUGCAGAUGUCCCACAGUGGAGAAUACACAGGCUUCGUUAUGGACCUCGGGAUCAAGUGUAGUGUUCAACUUAAUGUAACCAAAGACAAACUGAAAAAGCAAAAGGGGCAGGAUGGUUUCAGCACAACUGGAGCUCCUCUCAACACGACGGUGGAGAAAGUCGGUCCACGUGGUGACAUGAUGCUUAUCAUUGGGAUUGCUCUUUCUUGCGGCGUCGGUCUUCUCUUGAUUGUUCUGGGAUUGCUUGGAAAGCUCGGUAAGUUGGUGGUCAGUCUAACAGUUAACCUCUCAGUUAGGCAUUGCUUUUGUCAGCAAGCUGGAUGAUGAUGAAACUUGAUGCAUCUCUUAAGUCAAAGGUCAUAUAAAUGUUCCUAAAUAAAAUCAUGGUUGCUUGUUUUUGGAUCCAGACUUUAUCUCUGCCGUCUUUUUCAGUGUAGGAUCCUCACAUCCUACAUUCUCAUCAAUGUAAAAAUGUAGAAUGUGUUAUAAUCAUUACUGUAUAUUUACAUUUUCACCAUGAAAGUAAUUGAUGUAGUGUUUUGUUUUUCUGUCUAGUAAAACUUUUGUUUAGGUUUCUUAAUUUAAAACAAACAAACAAACUUUGUCUUGAUGCAUUCUCAAUAUUCCAGGAAAGUAAAUCUCCAAAAGUUGAUUGUGUUCAUCUGGACGUAGCGUUUUCAGUGGGAGAAAUGGUCUCAGCUGACUGCAGGUUUCCCCAAUCUCAUAAACAGUACGUGGAAAGACCAUCUCUGAAUCGAGGAGGGUUUAUCUGUCACCAUCUCACAAUGCUGUGAUUGCAGCCAUUCCCCAACUCUCUGUGAUGGUACUCAUGGCCAUUGAUCAGUUGGUUCUGGUCAGUGGUUGUUGAUCAGUGGUCAUGAGAAUUUGCAUAAUUAAGAUUAAGGACCUGACCUCCCAGCCCAUUGUUCCCUCAGUGGGCUGGUUUCAGUCAUUAUGCAAAUGUGCUGUUGAUAAGAUUUGUGGAAACCUGCAGUCAGCUGAGACUGAAGACGUCACUCGCAUGAGUGACGAAACGUUUCUCCCACAAAACACUACGUCCAGAUGAACAGAAUCAAGUUUUGGAGGAAAAAAACCCUCAAUCAGCUUCAUAUUCUACCAUAAAAAGUAUUUGUUUUUUGCAGAGGGCUUUGUGAGACGGUGCAGAGGAUGGAUCCAGCCACCAAAUGAUGAUCGCACUGAAAAUUAAACCAUCUUAUGAAAUUUAGCAGAAUGCAGUGAUUAACAAAUCUCAUGUGCUGUCCAUAAGAUGUGGGUUUAUUAUAGAAUGUGUGUCAAAUGUUUAAACUUUAAAAAAUUGUUUUGUGUGUAAGGAAAACACAAGCUCUUAGCUGUAAAUGAGGUUUUACAUGUGAACACAAUGAGUCUAGAACACGACGACAAAGUGAUGCCAGAGUUUCCUCUCAGAUGAGUUUGAAUCUCUGACCUUGUCCUUAACCUCCUAAGACCCAAACUCUCAUUUCAUGAAUUUGUAAUUUGUCUUUGUUAUUUGGACUGAGACCUGGUGAAUGUAAAAACAAACCUGAUGUAGUUUCUGAGAAUCUGAUAUCAGGCUUUGUACAGCAAAAUUGAGGAACUGUAGCCUAGACGACCCAAAAUAAUCAUGUUGACAUAUGUGGGAGGUUAAGGUCAGAGUUCAAAUUUUCUGAAAACUUGAACUCGCAUGUCACCUAUGAUUUUCAUAUUGCUAUCACAUCUAUCUGUCCUACAUUUUGCUGCUUCCAUCAAAGUCAAAAUGAGCUAAUGUUGUUCUGAAAAUGACACUUUCUCAGUUUAAACUUCUGUUUGUGUUCUGCUGUGAAUGUAAUGUGGGUUCAUUGGAUUUGCACAUAUAUUUUGUACAUUGAAACUUUGCGAGGCUGGCCGUGUGUGUGUGUGUGUGUGUGUGUGUGUGUGUGUGUGUGUGUGUGUGUGUGUGUGUGUGAGAUGACCUUUCCUAGAGCAAUAAUGUGAAUAAAUAAGUUUGUAUUUAUGAAUGUUUUAUAAAUGUUACCUUUCAUCGCUCUGUAAAGCAUUAAC
Long non-coding RNA from Astatotilapia calliptera (eastern happy), 2925 nucleotides. The record is from Ensembl. Lineage: Eukaryota; Metazoa; Chordata; Actinopteri; Cichliformes; Cichlidae.